RNAcentral lists this non-coding RNA (19 nucleotides) under Mus musculus (house mouse). Lineage: Eukaryota; Metazoa; Chordata; Mammalia; Rodentia; Muridae. The record is from RNAcentral.
AAGGAAUGACUCACUUGGC